Molecule: ribosomal RNA, 253 nt
Filed under: uncultured bacterium
Lineage: Bacteria
Description: partial 16S ribosomal RNA
Rfam family: Bacterial small subunit ribosomal RNA
Source: RNAcentral
UACGUAGGGGGCAAGCGUUAUCCGGAUUUACUGGGUGUAAAGGGAGCGUAGACGGAUGGAUAAGUCUGAAGUGAAAGCCCGCGGCUCAACUGCGGGACUGCUUUGGAAACUGUGCAUCUUGAGUACGGGAGGGGCAGGCGGAAUUCCUGGUGUAACGGUGAAAUGCGUAGAUAUCAGGAGGAACACCGGCGGCGAAGGCGGCCUGCUGGACCGAAACUGACGUUGAGGCUCGAAAGCGUGGGGAGCAAACAGG